UACGUAGGGUCCGAGCGUUGUCCGGAAUUACUGGGCGUAAAGAGCUCGUAGGCGGUCUGUCGCGUCGGUCGUGAAAACUUGGGGCUUAACCCUGAGCUUGCGGUCGAUACGGGCAUGACUGGAGUUCGGUAGGGGAGACUGGAAUUCCUGGUGUAGCGGUGAAAUGCGCAGAUAUCAGGAAGAACACCCGUGGCGAAGGCGGCUCUCUGGGACGGUACUGACGCUGAGACGCGAAAGCGUGGGGAGCGAACAGG
This 254-nucleotide ribosomal RNA is filed under the name uncultured bacterium. RNAcentral describes it as "partial 16S ribosomal RNA". It matches the Rfam family "Bacterial small subunit ribosomal RNA", at positions 524 to 776 of the family's 1533-position model. The record is from RNAcentral.